CCUAAAAAACCGUUACUCAGUUCAGAUUGCAGGCUGCAACCCGCCUGCAUGAAGUCGGAAUUGCUAGUAAUCGCGGAUCAGCAUGCCGCGGUGAAUACGUUCCCGGGCCUUGUACACACCGCCCGUCACACCAUGGGAGCCGGUAAUACCCGAAGUCAGUAGUCCAACCACGUGAGGACGCUGCCGAAGGUAGGAUUGGCGACUGGGGUGAAGUCGUAACAAGGUACC
Molecule: ribosomal RNA, 228 nt
Filed under: uncultured bacterium
Lineage: Bacteria
Description: partial 16S ribosomal RNA
Rfam family: Bacterial small subunit ribosomal RNA
Source: RNAcentral